RNAcentral lists this ribosomal RNA (267 nucleotides) under uncultured bacterium. RNAcentral describes it as "partial 16S ribosomal RNA". It matches the Rfam family "Bacterial small subunit ribosomal RNA", at positions 793 to 1055 of the family's 1533-position model. The record is from RNAcentral.
GUCCACGCCCUAAACGAUGAUGACUAGUUGUUGGAGGAGUUAAAUCCUUUAGUAACGCAGCUAACGCGCGAAGUCAUCCGCCUGGGGAGUACGGUCGCAAGAUUAAAACUCAAAGGAAUUGACGGGGGCCCCGCACAAGCGGUGGAUGAUGUGGUUUAAUUCGAUGCAACGCGAAAAACCUUACCUACCCUUGACAUGUCAGGAAUCCUCCAGAGACGGAGGAGUGCCCGAAAGGGAGCCUGAACACAGGUGCUGCAUGGCUGUCGU